Oncorhynchus tshawytscha (Chinook salmon) is the source of this 2307-nucleotide long non-coding RNA. RefSeq lists it as uncharacterized. The transcript is spliced from 2 exons. The record is from RefSeq and is a predicted model, not a curated record. Lineage: Eukaryota; Metazoa; Chordata; Actinopteri; Salmoniformes; Salmonidae.
CAUUCAUUAUUCAAUAUUAGAAUUCUGACUUGAGCUCUUAGGAAAAAAAAAUAGAAAAGAUGACUCCAGGAAAGUAAUGAGGAUGCUGAAUGGUAUAAUGUUAUGGUAUUGAUGUCUGUGUCAGUGAGAGAUUGACAUGGAUUAGCAUCGAGGGAUAGAAAAACAUAAUGGCCGCCUCCGUUAAAGAUUCAGAGAUCAGCCCGACUCGUCACAAAACAAAACAAACCUUCACGUGUGCUCAUCUUGUACGUAAUGUUUUAGAUUUUUCUUUUUUUAUCCGUUUGCCCUUUAAUUAAAAUACUUUGUUUGUUUGUUUUACGUUGUUGAGAAAAAGACGUUGUAUGUGCCUAUACAUUUCACCUUUUGUUCUUAGUAUUUCUCUUUGUUGAUCUCUUUAUUUGUAUGGAGAUCUGUGUGAAAAUGUAAAAUGUGCUCUCUCUCUCUUUUUCCCCUCUCUUUGCCCUAAACGCAGGGUAACACAUGAUCUAUGACAUUCUAUCGACACGGUCUUCUCCUCUGGAAGACCGUCAGGCGAACAGAAACAUGGCUCGAUCUUUUUCUAGUGGAUAUUUUUACCAUGAACAGAAAGGAUGGCUGCAGCAAGACUACAUGGAAAAAAGGCUUGAGUCCCAAAUGGCAUUAUGUUCCCUAUGUAGUACACUACAUUUGGCUGGAGCCCUGGUCAUAAAGUAGUGCUCUAUAUAUAUAUAGAAUAGGAUACCAUUUAAGAUACAACCAAUGCUUUUGAUUUAUUUUAUUGCAUUGUACUGUUCCAUAGAGCAAUUGAAGGACAAAUUGCUAGUAAACUAUUUUUUUUAACCUUUAUUUCACUUGGCAAGUCAGUUAAGAACAAAUUCUUAUUUUCAAUGACGGCCUAGGAACAGUGGGUUAACUGCCUGUUCAGGGGCAGAACGACAGAUUUGUACCUUGUCAGCUCGGGGAUUCGAACUUGCAACCUUUCGGUUACUAGUCCAACGCGGGAACUUUAUAUGAUAACAUUUAAUAUAUUAUUUACAGCAUUACUCUUACUUUUAUUUAAUUUAUGAAAAACAAUUUCAUCAUUCUGGAAAUUUUUGUUUAGCUUAAGACAAAAAACAAAUAGGAAAACGUAUUCAAGUCUUUUUACUCAAUUUCUGUCUGAGAGGUGUCUGUCCCAUUGAAUAGCCUCUUCCUGUUGUCAUUUUCCCAUCAGCCACUUCAGGAUUACGGUAUCCAUAUUAGGAUAGAGUCACAAGGCGUUACUCCUAGUUAGGACACUGUACAGGGUAGCACUUCCUCUCAGAAAAGGAACACAUCCACAGUAACUUUGAGCUGCGAAAUGACAUAGACAAACUGUCUACAUUGUCCAUAUAUUUGAAUAACAAGUCAAAUUUGAAGUUGAAAGUUAGUCGAAAUUUGAAAGACCAAAUAGUUUGCGAUAGCUAGCUGUGCUCUGAGACUUUUCCCAGUCAGGACUGGACAAUAAAGGGCCUCUGUGUACUGGUUGUAAACAUAGAGGGAUUCAAGGCUUGAGUCCCAAAUUACACCCUAUUCCCUAUGUAGUGUACUACUUUUGACCAGGGCCCCAUAGGGAACAGGGUACCCUUUUGGGACUCCUCUCAAGGUGACCUUCAUUUAGCCAAAUGUGCUGACGAGAGAGCCGGUGUGUCUGUGAGAUAAUGGGAUAUUGGGUUUUACUAAUGAGAGAUCACUGUGCCAUUAAAAGGGUUGGAGCACCCAACCACCCAAUGAAUGUGGCCUUCAACACCUGUUAUGGAUUAAAGGCUAUGGUUAUAACCUGUUAUAGAUUAAAGGCUAUGGUUAUAACCUGUUCUACAUGAUAUGCUAUGGUUAUAACCUCUUAUGGAUGAUAUGCUAUGGUUAUAACCUCUUAUGGAUGAUAUGCUAUGGGUAUAACCCAUGGGUAUAACCCUAACUCAGGUGAGUUGGGUGCAGGCUGGGCUGAGGUGAGGUGGAGACAGGCAGAGUUAGAGACAGAUAGCAGGCUGGGCUGAAGUGAGGUGGAGACAGGUAGAGUUAGAGACAGAUAGCAGGCUGGGCUGAGGUGAGGUGGAGACUGAGGUGAGGUGAGGUAGAGACUGAGGUGACAGUGAGAGCAGGUAUAGUUAGAGACAGAUAGCAGGCUGAGGUGAGGUGGAGACUGAGGUGACAGUGAGAGCAGGUAUAGUUAGAGACAGAUAGCAGGCUGAGGUGAGGUGGAGACUGAGGUGAGGUGAGGUGAGGUGGAGACUGAGGUGACAGUGAGAGCAGGUAUAGUUAGAGACAGAUAGCAGGCUGAGGUGAGGUGGAGACUGAAGUGAGGUGGAG